This 460-nucleotide ribosomal RNA is filed under the name uncultured bacterium. RNAcentral describes it as "partial 16S ribosomal RNA". It matches the Rfam family "Bacterial small subunit ribosomal RNA", at positions 338 to 795 of the family's 1533-position model. The record is from RNAcentral.
CCUACGGGAUGCUGCAGUGAGGAAUAUUGGUCAAUGGACGAGAGUCUGAACCAGCCAAGUAGCGUGAAGGAUGACUGCCCUAUGGGUUGUAAACUUCUUUUAUAUGGGAAUAAAAUGUUCCACGUGUGGGAUUUUGUAUGUACCAUAUGAAUAAGGAUCGGCUAACUCCGUGCCAGCAGCCGCGGUAAUACGGAGGUACCUAGCGUUAUCCGGAUUUCUUGGGUUUAAAGGGAGCGUAGGUGGAUUGUUAAGUCAGUUGUGAAAGUUUGCGGCUCAACCGUAAAAUUGCAGUUGAAACUGGCAGUCUUGAGGACAGUAGAGGUGGGCGGAAUUCGUGGUGUAGCGGUGAAAUGCUUAGAUAUCACGAAGAACUCCGAUUGCGAAGGCAGUUCACUGGACUGCAACUGACACUGAGGCUCGAAAGUGUGGGUAUCAAACAGGAUUAGAUACCCUUGUAGUC